Molecule: ribosomal RNA, 253 nt
Filed under: uncultured bacterium
Lineage: Bacteria
Description: partial 16S ribosomal RNA
Rfam family: Bacterial small subunit ribosomal RNA
Source: RNAcentral
UACGGAGGGGGCUAGCGUUGUCCGGAAUCAUUGGGCGUAAAGAGCGUGUAGGCGGCCCGGUAAGUCCGCUGUGAAAGUCGGGGGCUCAACCCUCGAAUGCCGGUGGAUACUGUCGGGCUAGAGUGCGGAAGAGGCGAGUGGAAUUCCUGGUGUAGCGGUGAAAUGCGCAGAUAUCAGGAGGAACACCAAUUGCGAAGGCAGCUCGCUGGGACGUAACUGACGCUGAGACGCGAAAGCGUGGGGAGCAAACAGG